This is a non-coding RNA of Streptococcus dysgalactiae subsp. equisimilis RE378, 96 nucleotides long. NCBI's taxonomy places the organism in Bacteria, Bacillati, Bacillota, Bacilli, Lactobacillales, Streptococcaceae. The record is from Rfam.
AUAUUUAACUACACUUAAUUAAAUAAAUAAUAUAUCCUAAGGAGAUGUGUGAUGAAAAAGAAAAUUAGCCUCAUUUUGAGUGCCUUUUUAGCUGCU